Molecule: unclassified non-coding RNA, 352 nt
Filed under: fungal sp.
Lineage: Eukaryota; Fungi
Description: partial internal transcribed spacer region
Rfam family: Eukaryotic small subunit ribosomal RNA (bases 1-46)
Source: RNAcentral
AAGUCGUAACAAGGUUUCCGUAGGUGAACCUGCGGAAGGAUCAUUAACACGAAUUUUAUCCAAUAUAAAAACCAAACGUGAACUUUUCCCCUCCCUAGACUAAUUCUUCUGAAGAAUUGUUUAGGCUAACCUUUUUUAACUCUAUAUAUAAUAGAAUAUUUAUUGUUCUAUUGUAUAUAUUGUUUCUCAACUCCUAAAACUUAACUCUAGUUUGUAGACGAGGGUGAAUUAACCUUCUAAACAACUACUAACACUAAAAAAAUGUCCUUCUUACUCUUAAUUGAGUAGAUGGCUUUUUUUCGAUAUUACGAAAAAUUAAGAACAACUCUUAACAAUGGAUAUCUUGGUUCUC